This 329-nucleotide unclassified non-coding RNA is filed under the name soil metagenome. Its description in RNAcentral is "partial contains 5.8S ribosomal RNA, internal transcribed spacer 2, and large subunit ribosomal RNA". The stretch from base 1 to 120 matches the Rfam family "5.8S ribosomal RNA", at positions 35 to 154 of the family's 154-position model. The record is from RNAcentral.
GAUGAAGAACGUAGCGAAAUGCGAAAAGUAAUGUGAAUUGCAGAAUUCAGUGAAUCAUCGAAUCUUUGAACGCACAUUGCGCCCCUUGGUAUUCCGAGGGGCAUGCCUGUUCGAGCGUCAUUAUAACCCCUCAAGCUCAGCUUGGUGUUGGGGCCUGCUGCACUGGCAGCCCUUAAAAUCAGUGGCGGCGCCAUCUGGCUCUAAGCGUAGUAAUUCUUCUCGCUAUGGAGUCCUGGUGGAUGCUUGCCAUCAACCCCCAAUUUUUCUAUGGUUGACCUCGGAUCAGGUAGGGAUACCCGCUGAACUUAAGCAUAUCAAUAAGCGGAGGA